RNAcentral lists this ribosomal RNA (248 nucleotides) under Dentiscutata heterogama. The record is from RNAcentral. Lineage: Eukaryota; Fungi; Glomeromycota; Glomeromycetes; Diversisporales; Gigasporaceae.
CAGUCGCGUUCUCUGGGAUUCAGCCUUGCUUUUGCUUGGUGCAUUUCCUAGUCUACGGGCCAGCAUGGAUUUCGACCGUCGGAAAAGGGCUGGGGGAAUGUGGCACUUUCGGGUGUGUUAUAGCCCCCUGUCGCACACGUCGGUUGGGAUCGAGGACCUCAGUGCACGCUUCGGUUGUGCUUUGAUGCUGGCGUAAUGGCUUUAAACGACCCGUCUUGAAACACGGACCAAGGAGUCUAACAUGUAUG